RNAcentral lists this ribosomal RNA (274 nucleotides) under uncultured bacterium. RNAcentral's name for it is "partial 16S ribosomal RNA". It matches the Rfam family "Bacterial small subunit ribosomal RNA", at positions 523 to 796 of the family's 1533-position model. The record is from RNAcentral.
AUACGGAGGGUGCGAGCGUUGUUCGGAAUUAUUGGGCGUAAAGAGCAUGUAAGCGGUCUGUUAAGUCUGGUGUGAAAGCCCGGGGCUCAACCCCGGAAGUGCAUUGGAUACUGGCAGACUUGAGUAUGGGAGAGGAAAGCGGAAUUCCGAGUGUAGGAGUGAAAUCCGUAGAUAUUCGGAGGAACACCAGUGGCGAAGGCGGCUUUCUGGACCAAUACUGACGCUGAGAUGCGAAAGCGUGGGGAGCAAACAGGAUUAGAAACCCUAGUAGUCC